RNAcentral lists this long non-coding RNA (3288 nucleotides) under Marmota monax (woodchuck). Lineage: Eukaryota; Metazoa; Chordata; Mammalia; Rodentia; Sciuridae. The record is from RNAcentral.
GCCUGCCCUGCCGCGGGGAGGAAAAUGUCGGGAGGAGUCCCUGCCCCAUCCGCAGCCUUUGUUCGCUAAGGCCAGGGGCGCCCACGGCGGGGCUGCGCGCCCCGCGUCCCCAAGCGCCCCCGGGACGCCCCCUCCCGCUGCCGCCGCGGCCCAGCCGGCUAGUGCCAGGGCGAGCGCUUACCAGGUGGUCCCAGAGGCCCCGCGGCGCGGGCACUCGCGGUCAAGUUCAGGUCCGGCCCCGCAGACCGUCCCGGGUCCCGGCGCGCAGCCCCAGCCGAGUGCAGACGCGGUCGCCGCCGCGGCCGGCCGGGGCGCUGCUGUCACCCUGGCCUCGCCACCCCAACUUUGUGCACAGUCGCCGAGCUGGAAGUUUCCGGGCUUCGCGGACGCUGGGCUGGGUUUCAGCAGCGACGUCUGAGCUUGGCAACAAAGAGGGAGAGAGCAGGCCCCGGAGAGGGAGGAAGAGGACUGCGGGGAGAGCAGCCCACUGAGAAAGCCCAGGACUUGAAAUUCCACCCACACGGGCUUUUGGUUUUGUGUUUUUCUUAGGAGGUAAACAAGAAUGUCCUGCAGCGGGUGGGAUGGCCCUUCCCAAAGCUCUGGUCACUCUCCAGGGUGGCCUCGCAGGCAUCUGGCACUUGAGAGCCCACUCCCACGGGUCUGGGAGUGAGGGUGGGUGUAAGUACUCCCUAACAGCAGGUGACACCACAUCCACCUGCAGAGUGGGAGGGUGGUGGCUGUCUCCUGCCCUCCAGUGCCAGGUCAGCCUGUGGCCCAGAACAGGAAGGAGGGAUUCCAUGCUGGGUCCUGUGCCCAGACCCAUUCAGCCCCCUCCAAAAGGUGUGGUGUCCCUGUUCCCAACCUCCAAGGAAGAUAUUUGAUGGGUGAGGCUGGAAGGAUUCCCUGGCCUCGUCCUGAGCUGCAGCUCCUCAGUUGGUCUCUGCCACUUACUGUCCUCUUCUCUCUGCCUGGCUUUGAACUCCUCCAGGGCAGGGUCCUGGGGACACAUCCUGGGUAGGGGCAGCAGGUGAGUAGCCCCAGGCCUGAAAAUACACAAAGUAGCUGAGCCCAUGCCCCAGAGACUGCCAAGGCCCUGCAGGCCAUGGACCAGGUGCUGAGGGGCAUGGGCCUCCAGCUGCCCGCUGGCUUGGGGCACCCCUGCACCUCGCUGGCUAUGUUUACCAUUUAUCCUCCCACCCCCGACUCAUUUAUGCGGAAAACAGUCCCAGGCCUGCUCCUCCAGAGCACUAUUUCAGGUUGGGAGCACAGGGCUUCUGCCUGCUUGUUUUUUAAAGAAAAAUGGAGGGGGCUAUGGAGGCCUAAGUGGGGGUCGAGAGGGAAGACCAUGCUGUCUCUUCCCCCAUAGAAGUGGUUUGUGGCUCAAGGAGCUGCAGCCCUGCUCCCUUAGAUGGGGAUCCCCUUCUAAUGACGGCCCAAGCUCAGUUCUUUCUGGAUUCUGUCCUGGACUUCUACAGGUGAUUCGUGGAAGAGGCCUUGCUGCCCAUCCACCUGGAAACUUUCGAGACUUCUGGCCCUGAGAACACAGGUUGUAGAGAUGCCAGGAGGUGCCAGGGCUGGCUGGGACGGCCUGUGAGCUACCUCUGGGGGAAAAUCCACCUGCCAACAGAGCCCAGGAUCCUGUCCCAGGCAGGGGGAUGCGGCUGCUCUUGUCUUCAUGGUGGUCAGCCCUGGCAAAGCCUGUCCCUAUUCCUCCCCAGGCCUCAGGACGCCAGCCUCACUCACUCCAGGGCACAGCGACUGACAUUCUACUGAGGCAGAACACCAGGUGGAGACAUGGCAGAAUUCCCUCCUCUCAACACAGCGCCUUGCUCAGGGCCUGGCCUUUCCCGGAGAGGGAAGCUGCCUGCUCUCUCCGCGGGCAUACUUAACAGGGCACACUGUUUUAUAUUUUCGGUGCAUCAGGAACAUGGUGUCUCCCUGACGUCUGAACUCCUUUGCUUCCUGCCUCCUUGUCACUGGUGUACUUUGUCUCAAAGGGGAAUGCCACCCUAGUUCUUUUGGAAAACAUCACUAUCUAGUCCCAGGCUGGCUGCCUGACCGUGGGGCCCCCUCCUUUGUACAGGGCCACACCACACCUGCGGAAGGGUCCAGUACUCAAUGCUCAGCUAUAACCGGCUCAUAAUUCUGGGUCAUUUUUGAGUACAGGGCCUGCAUUUUCAUCUUGCUCCGGCCCUGCUAAUCCUGACUUUGGCUGCUGGUUAAUAAUGCUGCAGAGUGAGAAGGUAAAUGUCUAUGAUUUGUAAGUAUGUUUAAACUAAGUUCUGCUUACAGAAAUAGUUCCACAUUCUAGGUAAAUGAGGUAAAAACAUUUCUGUUGAAGAUUACUGUGUUCAGGGAAAAUGUCCCUCUUUCAGGGAGGAAGAUGUGAGGAAAACAGUGCAAUCCACAUGGGUGCAUUGGUGCAUGCCUGUCGUCCCCGCAACUCCGGAGGCUGAGAAGGGAGGAUUGCAGCAACUUAGUGAGACUGUCUCAAAGUAAAAUAAAAAGGACUGGGGGUAUAGCUCGGUGGUGGAGCACUGGCAUAGCAUGUGUGAGGUGCUGGGAAAAAAAUCCUCAGCACUGGAGGGGGAAAACGAAAAAAAAAAAGGAAGAAAGAAAAAGAAAAACAGUGUAAUCCUGAGGCUUGGAGGAUGGAAUGUUCUGCUUUGCCCCGGCUCCACCAAGAAACACCCGCGCACCAUCCCACAGGCAGGUGUUCAGAGCAGUAGAUCUGUGCAUACCAGGCACUCGGCAAAGGCCAGUGUCCUUGACUGUCUUUUGACAUGAGGGCUUAGACAGUUUCACUACUUUUACCCUGAAUGUAUUUACCUCUUAUCAUUAUAAAAGUAACACACACUGCUAUAGAAUGUUUGGAAAAAGAAAAAGAAAGGAGAAGUUUCCACCAUGUCCUUUACUCCAAAGCCUGCAGACAGUGAGGCCAGUGCGCUUCUGUACAGUCCUAGAAAUAUAGGGAGGUUGACCAAGGACCACAGGGGAGCAAGGCCCCGCCUGCUGUGUGCUGCCCAGCACGGUGGCUGCAGAUGACCUCUGUGCACUGUAUGUUCCAGAAAGCUGCAAAAAAGGGGUUUGUUUUCAUCAGUUUUCAUCAUAAAGACAUGACAAAUGUUUGAGGAGAUAAACAUGCUUAAUUUGAAUUAAAUACUAUACUAUGUAUACAUUAUAGAAAUAGCAUAUGGUGCUCCAUAAAUAUGUACAAUUUUUAUCUAUCAGUUAAAAAUAAAUUUAACCUUAAAAAAUAAAUUUAAAUUCAAAUUAAACUCAAUUAUA